AAAGCAGCAGCAGCAGCAGCUCGGCGUUAAUGGGUUCCUUGAGGAGAGGCCGAGGGUUAGAGCAUCCAUCCCCGCAGCCCUAUAGAGGUUCCUGCUUUGGAAACACAGUGACAUGAGAUGCUGGAACCUGGAGCUUGAUUCAAGGACCUUCCUAAAGAUGAUUUUACAGAAAAGCAGAACCUGACAGCAAGAGAAAAUAUGUCCAGAAAAAUGAUUUAUCAGCUUGUGCUGUGCUGAUGGAGAAUCCAAGUGGGGUUCUGAGUGACCUGGUCAAGUGGAAGUCUUCCCUGUCCAUGGAGUGUUGGAAUUGAAUGACCUUUAAGGUGUUUUCUAACCCAAACUCUCAUUCUGUGAUUGUAUGAAUCAGGCCAGAGUGACCUUUGAGAGCCUCAGCUCAGGUGAGGGAAGUGAGCCAUGACUUCCCACGUGGGUCAAAGGUCUUCCCUUGGAGGAGAUGGAACAUAAACUAUUAAAAAAAAAAAAAAAAAAAAAAAGGAGAGAGAGAGAUUAGAUAGAAGAUAUCAGGAGAAGGAGCCCAAACCCCACAAACAUCUGCAAAUGUGCCUACAGCCAUCUGCAACACAGAUCCAUCUGCAUCAAUCCUCCAGCAGUGCUGAAGGAAUUUGUCCCGUUCCAGGGCUGCCAGCUGUCAAGAUAAAUUGUUAAAAGCCGGUCUCACACACUGCAGCAAAUUAAACAGCGUUUGAAAAUGUGAGGGAGAGACUUCCCAAGGAAUAUGCAAGAGAUUCAUUAAUCCAAGUGAGCCCAACUUUCCAGAACACGUUGGUAAAGGUGUUGACACCUCUUUGACCCCUGUGUCCCCCUCACCUGCCCGCCUUUCACACACCCAGAUCAGGGUCAGUCCAGAAGGUCCCUCUCGGAACUCAGCCAUGGCAUUUCACAGGAUCCUCCUGGUCUCACCUCCUCCAGGGACAGCUUCUUUUCCCUUCCAGGUGAAUUUUUCCCUCCCGGCUCCCUCUGGCAGGUGGGCAGGAGGCACAGACAGGGAGCAGGAUGGGGCUCUGGAAUGUGUUACCAGUUAUUCCCACUCCUUGUUUGAAGGGUUCUGCUGUCACUGCCGGGAGCCACGAGAUCCCUCCCGUGUCCAUCCUCCCCAGGAAUUCCAUUGCUCUAGGGGAUAGGAGAAGAAUGGUUGGGAUAGGCUGAAAAAUGAGAUUACUGAUAUUUUUCCCUCUCUGCCAUGGCUUUUUAUGAAACUGGGUGCUUGGAAUCAUGGAAUUAUUUAGGUUGGAAAAAACCUCUAGGAUCACCGAGUCCAACCAUCAGUGCAGCACUGCCAAGGUCACCACUAAACCAUGUCCCCAAGUGCCACAUCCUCACAGCUUUUAAACACCUUCAAGGAUGGGGAAUCCACCAUGUCACAGACGACACGAAAAGAACUGCACGAGGACAGGCUGGUGAGCAAAGCAGGAAAAAGGGAUGAGUUUAUUUACAAAACUCAAUUUUAUACAUUUCCUGUGGUGCCUGUGGAUUGGAGGCUGGAAUUCCACCUCUCAAACCACAUUGGGCAAGCCAACUGUCAGUCAACUUUCUCCUCCUACCUAAAAAUAUGUAAACAAUUAAAGAGCAAAACAUGGCCAUUGUUUGUAGUACAAAGUGCGAUAAAGUAAAAAUUCUGACUUCAAUAUGAAGAACAAUACAGAAGGCUUAGAAAAGUCUUCAAAACCAAGGCAACAUCAUCCCUGUCCAGGGCUGCCUGUGCCAGCACUUGACAACUCUUAUGGAGAAUUUUUUCGUAAUAUCCAACCAAAUUCUUCCCCUGGUGCAACUUGAGGCCGUUAUCUCUCAUCCCAUCCCUCCUUACUUAGGAGAAGAGACCCAUCCCCACCUGGCCCCAUCCUCCUGUCAUAGGGAGUUGUGGAGAGAAGGUCCCUCCUGAGCCUCCUUUUCUCCAGGCUGAGCCCCUUUCCCAGCUCCUUCAGCUGCUCCUGGCGCUCCAGACCCUUUCCCAGCUCCGUUCCCUUCCCUGGACACUCUCCAGACCCUCAAAGUCUUUCUUGUCAUGAGGGACCCACAACUGAACCCAGGAUUUGAGGUGCUGGGUACAGGGGGAUGAUCACUGCCCUGACCCUGCUGGCCACACUGUUCCUGAUAUAAGGAUUUAAUAAUGAUUUAAACUUUCAUUUAAUAAUGAUUUUAACUGGGAUUUGAGGGAAUGGGGGUCACCAUGUGAUACAGGCAUGGAACAAAGAGGGCCUUCAAUCAAUUCAGCUUGCUGGAGAUUGAUUUAGGAAUAUCUUUUUCUUUUUCCUGCUUCUGUGUGAUAGCCACCUCUCUUGCCAAAAUGUUCAAGUGUCCACAACCAGAGGCAGAGCCCAUGAACCCAAAGUUAUCAAAAUGAUCAAGAAACUGGUUUAACAUUUUUAGACAAAAUCUUCACAGACAGGAUUAUCGAUUUAAUAACCAGGGCUAUUAAACAUGGUAGCACCACAGCAACAGAUGUCUGAACACCUCUUGUUUUGGCAGCUGGGAUAACCAAAAUAAAGAUUGUUCUAUAGCUCUCUAUAUCAGAGUUCUGGGCUACAACCUCAAAAUCAAAAGGUAAUACAGUUUCAAAAGUAGGUUAAACCCUUAAACCCCAGGUGUUUCCCUGAAUUUUGUGGCUCAGCUUUGCACAAAAAAAAAAAAAAAAAAAAAAAAAAAAAAAAAAAAAAAAAAAAAAAAAAUCCACACUUAAAAACUAAUGAUGGAAGGAGAAUGGGGAAGAGAAGGUUUUGAUUCAUCACACCUUCUUCAUCCACUUUGUUACGUCUAAUGAGACCUGAGCAUCCUCAGAGGCAUCAGCCAUGGUGGCAACAGGGAGGGUUGUGCAGCAAAACAAACAUUAGGGAAGGGAAGGUGGUUCCCAGCAACCACAGGGCAAAACCCUUUUCCUACAAGUCCCUACAAGCCUCUUCUGGCCUCUGCUGCUGUUUCUGGAGGACAGGAAAGAGCUCGUUGGGAGCUGCCCUAUACUGGCUGGUAUGAGCCUCGGAAUUUUCACUUCCUUAAGCAGUUUAAACCCCUUCCUUACAAUGCUGACUUCUGGCUCGACCACAAAUCCCUCAUCCUCAUCCUUACAACCUCCAGAUCCACACCAUCAGCACUCAACCUGGCUAACCUUUGCCACGACAGGCAAAAUAUUCCGAGUUUUUUCUCAUCUCCAGUAGCCUCUCCCUGUCCAGAUGGAUCCCAAAGUCCUUCCUGGCCAUUUGAAUUGUUCUGUAUCGAAGGUGACCCAGGAUUCUGAAUCUCACGCCAGUCACCUGCUCUCCCACAUGGUUUCCUCAUUAUUUACCUCAUCUUGCAGUGUUCUCAGACGAUCUGUCCUCUCCUUCCUAAUCACCCCCUCCUCCCCAUUUCCUCCCCACUCUGAGGUGAAUCCACCUGAAAGUCCCCGGAGUUUCUUAGGAACAGCCUGCUGAGCACAGCUCCGUGACGCCGAUGCCGGCAUUGUGAGGGCUGUGUUUUCCUGGAUAGCAUGACUGUUCCUGAGUCUUGCAAAUGAAAGGAAUUAGAGAAACAGAGGACUCGAGAGGUGUAUGAGUAAUCCAGCAUCAUCCCUGGGGACACGUGCUGGGAUAACACACAAAAACAAGCUGGGAACACAGAGUGCUUUCACCUGAGAGCUGGCUCUUCCCACUCUUCAGGAAGGGAAGUGUCAGUGCUGCAGCGAGAGAAACUGAGGCACGGGGGUUGGCAGAGAUUCAGCUGGUUUGGUGGAGAGCCUAAGGCGAAGCUCUUCAUGGUCUGUUUGGGUUGCAACUGCCUGAAUUAGGCAUUAAAGCUCAAUUUAUUUGCAUAAGAGGAAGACAAGACCGUGAACUCUAUCCUGGGGAAGCCGUGUGAGGAGCAGCUGAGGGCACUUGGUUUGUUCAGCUGGAGAAGAGGAGAUGGAGGGGAGACCCCAUCACAGUAUAAAUCUUCCUCUGGGAGGAAGAGGAUGGGCAGACACUGAACUCUGCUCUGUGGGGACCUGUGAUGGAAGCCGAGGGAAUGGCCUGGAGCUGUGUCAGGGGAGGUUUAGGUUGGAUUUCAGGAAAAGGUUCUUCCCCCAGAGGGUGUCUGGGCACUGGAACAGCUCCCACGGAAUGGUCACAGCACCAGGACUGACAGCAUUCAUGGGGUGUAUGGACAACGCUCUCGGGCACAUGGUGGGAUUGUUGGGGUGUCCUGUGCAGGGCCAGGAGUUGGAGUCUGAUCCUUGGGGGUUCCAGCUCAGGUUAUGCCGUGGUUCUGUUACUCUGUUAUUCUGUGGUUCUGUGACCCACAGCAGUCGCGUGUUCCAGUGCAUUUGGACCCCUCCACGAUUACCCCCAGCUUGGCUCUCCCUCACCUCACCGCCCCCACCCGCACUAACAUACAACAUCCCAGUGAAGCCUCUCACACUUCCUACAGCCAGAUGGCCAAAGUCUUGUCUUCACCUCGUCUUUGGGUUGCCCUGGAGCCUGGUUUGGGGCCACCUGGCCAAGGAACGAGCACCAAAAUCACCCCACCACCCAAGGACGCCGCCACGGCGCCGCGUUCGUGCGGAGCUGGGAUCCGUUCCGCCCACCGACUUCCCCACCUCCAAAGUCUGCAGCUCGGCGAGGGGAAGGAACAUUCCAUAGAAGGGAAGGAAUCUCUGCCAGGAGCUGCAGAAGUGGGACACAGAUGGUGCCUGAAACGAGAGCGGAAGUUUAUCUGGGGGCUCUGCCCGUGACGUCGCGCUGCGGAUCCUGCGGCAGAUCACAGGCACUGGGAUUUCAGAGCGGGUGAGGAGUUCAGUUUGGGGGAGUCUCUGUAUGCUAUUAGAGAUAUUAGUUUGACUGAAAAAAAAUUUAAAAAAGGGAAAAAAUGAAAAAUAAAAAAUAAAAAAUAAUAAUUUAAGGAUAGGAGUGUUUAAAUUUGCUUUUGCUCAUGUGUAGGUCUGGUUCUUCUGACAGCCUGAUCUUGAUCCCUUUGCUGGCUGGGUCAGCCAGGAUGGUUGUGCAGAUUGGCCAGGUGGACACUGCUGAUGGAAAAACCUGAGGAUGACACUGGCCUGGCUUUUCCCUGCCCUACACAUAAAAUUUUACCUUUGUCCUCUGCUUGCCGAGGAGUUGGAGGAGAUUUCUGGACAUCUUCUCGUGCAACUCUCUGCUGCAGCAGGGCCACCCAGAGCCAGUCCCCCAGGGCCACAGCCACGUGGCAUUUUAAAAGUUCUCAGAAUGGAAACUCCACAACCUCUCGGGGCAACCAAUCCCUCUCAUCCUCUCCUCAUAAGAAGGGGGCUCCAGUCCUUUAAUUACAUUCAUCUGGGUGUGUUCAGCCUCGAGAAGAGAAAACUGAGAGGGGACCCCAUCUCUGUCUGUUCCUGCCUGCAGGGAGGGCUCUGAGCAGGGCCAGGCUCUGCUCUGUGGGGCCCAGCAAUGGCACAGGAGGAACAGGCAGGGACUGAUCCCAGGGAGUUCCACCUGGACAUGAGGCAGAACUUCUUCCCUGAGCAGUGACCAAACCCUGAACAGAGACCAGGGCGGGUGUGGAGUGUCCCUCACUGGAGAUAUUCCAGAAUUUGGACACAAUCCUCUGCCUGUGCUCUGGGAUGGCCCUGCUGGAGCAGGGAGGUGGCACCAGGUGACCCCACUGUGGUCCCUUCCAGCCUGACCCUUUCUGUGAUUCUGUGAUCGCCCUCCUGGCCCUUGGCUGGAUCCUCCUGGCUGUCCAGGUCUCUCCUGCACUGCAGAGCCCAGCCCUGGGCACACAAAACUGCAGGAAAACUCUGCUGAAGCCCGGGGUUGAACCAGGGACCUUUAGAUCUUCAGUCUAACGCUCUCCCAGCUGAGCUACUUCAGCUCUGCUCUGGCUCAGAUUUUCCCAAAACCUGUUGAAAUAUGAGGAUCUUUCAGCCUUUUCAGGCAGCCUUUGGUUUACUUGAUCUUGAGAAUCAAAGAAUUGUUCCAGGGAACAGGAUAGAGACAGACUGAGAUCAAAAGAUAUGGUUCAAGACACAUGAAAGUGUCCAAGGCCAGGUUGGAUGGGGGUUGAAGAAACCUGGGACAGUGGAAAAUGUCCCUGCCCAUGCCAGGGAUUGGAAAGAGAUUAUAUUUAAGGUCCUCUCAGUCUGAAACAUUCUGGGGUUCUGUGAUAAAACACAGCUAAAUCUGGAAUUAAGCAGCUGCCCUGAUCUGGGAACCAGCCAAGAGCAGUAGCAUUGAACAGAAUUUCCUGACACCCUUUCACAGAGCCCACGGAAGGAUCUGGAAUUAUCCAUAGAGCCUGGCUAAUCUUUUCACAUCAAUCUGUCUUUCUCCACCUCAGGAAUGGGAGCCAGGCAUCUUCAUGCAGUGAUAUGGGAGAUGUUUGCCCAGCCCACCAACUCAUCCUGCAAAUAAUUCGCUCCUGGGACAAUCUCCCAUCUUUCACCAGCUCCACAUUCACAUCUUCCCAAAAUACAUAUGUGGAGUGCACACUGUUUCCGAAUUUCUGGGGAGGGAGAUCCACGCGUUUGGAUCCAGGCUGGACGGAGCCAGAGCAGAUGAAAGCCUUCCCAAGGCCAGUGGUGCCACCUAAUGGGAAAAUUCCCGGGGAAUCCGCGUCUCGGAAGUUCGGUCCUUAUCUGGAGUGUUGCUAGGUGACGUAGAGAUGGAAAUGAGGAGCUCUGACGUCAGUCCCUCUUUUCUGCUGCCUUACGACCAUUCCUCUGUCAAUCCAUCCCCUUUUCCCAGGCAUCCGAGCCACGGGCAGGAAAAAGCCCCGGGAAAUUUGUUCUAUUUCCUGCUUGAAUCCAAUCUCUGCAAUCCCUGGAGCUCCUGAAGCGUUUUUGUCCUUGACACCCAGUCUGUAUGCAGAGGAAAUAAUCCCAGAUUUUGGGGUUAUGGAGAGCCAAGCAGAAAACAAGAUGGAACGAGGGGCUGCCAUGGGAGAGAUCAGGACCCUGAGGUUUUUCUUAUUUGUAGAUUUUUGCAAAUGAGGGGCGAGACAACUUCUCUGCACUGCAACACCCACGCCCAGAUCCAUCUGGAACCACACUGUGGCUCUGCAAAAGAAGGAAUAAUAUCUCAAAUACCUCAAAAGUUCCCACCUGGCAGCCCCCCGCAGCCACUCCAAGUCAUGGAUAACCACGAGAGUGGGUGGGAAUGGGCUGCCAAGCCUGUCCUGGUCUCCAGGGAUUAUUGUAUUCCCCGACUGGGUUGUUUUCCCAGCACUUACACCCAUUUUUCCACAACAGCGUCACUCACCACUGCUUCCCUGCCACCUCUACUUUUCAGAAAUGUGUUACAGGGGGUAGAGCAGGUCUUUCUCAGGUCUCAUCUCAGCUCUCCUGUUGAUGAAUCAUGAGGUUUAAUCUGUCUCAGGCAGGCUUUCUCUUUUUCCUUUUCUUUGAAAUUCAAGUUAUUUCCAAGAUUCUUUCAAUUUCUUUCUGCGAUAAACAUGUUUGCAAGGGCUCAUAAGAAGAAAAUUAUGUAAUGUGAUGUCAAAGCCUUGUUUCUGCUCUUCUGGGGAGAGGGCAACAGUGAAGGGAGAAGAAGAUCCAACCCCCCCUUCAGUGCCUCACUGACACAAAAUGUCACUACUAAAGGCAAGAAGUGAGCUCAGAGAGCUCCUGUGCAAUUCCAUGGCUGGAGGAGGGGUUAACAUUCAGGGCAAAUGGGAGGAACCUUUAAUUAAGCAGACUCAAAUCAUUAAUUCUGGCAAGGAGCUGAGCUCUGCUGGUAGUGACGACUCUGCAGCUGUGGCUGGUGCUGCUCAACACCUGGAACACUGCCUGGCAGAGGUGGUCAGGCACCAGUGACGUCCUCAGAGGAUCAUAAAACCAUGGAAUGGUUUGGGUUGGAAGGGACCUCAAAGAUCAUCGAGUUCCAACACCCCUACUAUGGGCAGGGACACCUUUCACUAUCCCAGGGUGCUCCCAGCUCUGUCCAACCUGGCCUUGGACACUGCCAGGGAUGGGGCAGCCACAGCUUCUCUGGACAGCCUGUGCCAGGCCUCACAACUCUCCCAGGGAAGAAUUCCUUCCCUAUAUCCCAUCUAACCCUGCCCCCUGUCAGUUUGAAUCCAUCCCUCUUCUCCUGACACUCCAGGCCCUUUUCCAAAGUCUCUCUCCAGUUCUUUUGGAGCCCCUUUAGGCACUGGAAGAGGCUCUGAGGUCUCCCUGGAGCCUUCCCUUCUCCAGGCUGAACAAACCCAGCCUUUCCUCAUAGCAGAGGAGCUUUAUUUCUCUAACAAUCUUUGUGGUUUCCUCUGGACUGACUCCAGACUAAACAGCCCCCACAUCAGUGGCUCAGCAUUACCACCAAUUUACAGAGCAGCCUGUGCCAUAAGAGUGGGAACAAUGUAAGGAACAAAAAUCCCUUUAUAUCACAAUUUUUGCUGAAGUACUGGAAUUGCAAAACCCUGUCCCCCUUUCACAGGCUCAGACUGGUCGAGGUCUAAAGCCCUGCUCAAGCAGGACCUACAGCCCCUAUGCCAGGAUCACUUCCAGGUCCCUUGGGGAUGUGUCUAAGGAGGGGAACUCCACACUCUCUCAAGGCCACCGCACCCAGCUCCUCAUCCUUUCCCCACAGCAGAGAUGCUCCAGUGCCCUCCAGUCCCCUCCAAUCCCCUCCAGUGCCCUCCAGUCCCCUCCAGUGCUCCCGGCCCUUGGCUGGAUCCCUCCUGGCUGUCCAGGUCUCUCCUGCACCACAGAGCCCAGCCCUGGGCACACAAAACUGCAGGAAAACUCUGCUGAAGCCCGGGGUUGAACCAGGGACCUUUAGAUCUUCAGUCUAACGCUCUCCCAGCUGAGCUACUUCAGCCCUGAUAUUGGGGUUUGUUUCCCUAUAAACAACAGGGGAACACACUGGAACACUUUAGCCUGGAAAAUACAAAUUUUAGGGAGAGGGGUUGCUUCAAGAUCAGUUGUGAUUGAUGCUAAAAACCACUUUCAUGGGUAAGGGGUUUUUCCUAUUCCCAAAAUCCAGUUCUGAUUUCCUGCUAGGCCUGUGGGUCAACCUUUCCACUUCUCCUCAGGGAAUUCUGUGGCAUAGGACUGGGAACAGGCAGUGAAAGCAACAAAAAUCCCUUUGUAUCACAAUUUUUGCUGAAGUACUGGAAUUGUAAAACCCUGUCCCUCCUUCACAGGCUCAGAAUGGUUGAGGUCCAAAGGGAACUCAUGGAGGUCCCUGCUCCUGAUGCCUUGGGAAGGCUGACCUGGAACAGAGACUGGAUAAAGCUAGAGAGUAAAGCAGAUAUUUACUGAAAGGCCUUUAAGGAUACAGCUUGGGCAGGACAAGAGCCUGGCCAGGGCUACACUCAAGGUGGGCCCCAAAUGGUCAUAAAAUGGACAAUCAGUCACGAGGUCUCCACUUUUAUGAGUUUUGGUCCAUGUGCAUAUUGGGGUUUAAUUGUCCAAUUACAGCUCCAAGUUGUGAAAUCCCACCCUUCUUGUUUUCUCCCUUCAGUCCACCCUUGUUUGUGCUUUUGGGCCUGAAAGUUGUACUCGUUGUCCUUGGUCUCCAGCAGGAAAAUGAUUUGUUUUGUCUCCCUACUCUGUGAAGAGAGCUGAGUGACCCUGAAUGUGAGGCCCACAACUGCACCCCUGGGCAGCACAGAAUCGGAAAAACAGGAAAACUGAAACUUAAGGCAUCACUCCAAAGCCCUGCUCAAGCAGAACCUACAGCCCCUUGCCAGGAUCACUUCCAGGUCCCUCGGGGAUGUGUCUAAGGAGGGGAACUCCACACCGCACCCAGCUCCUCACCCUUUCCCCACAGCAGAGAUGCUCCAGUGCCCUCCAGUGCCCUCCAGUGCCCUCCAGUCCCCUCCAGUCUCCUCCAGUGCUGCUGGCCCUUGGCUGGAUCCCUCCUGGCUGUCCAGGUCUCUCCUGCACUGCAGAGCCCAGCCCUGGGCACACAAAACUGCAGGAAAACUCUGCUGAAGCCCGGGGUUGAACCAGGGACCUUUAGAUCUUCAGUCUAACGCUCUCCCAGCUGAGCUACUUCAGCCCUGAUAUUGGGGUUUGUUUCCCUAUAAACAACAGGGGAACACACUGGAACACUUUAGCCUGGAAAAUACAAAUUUUAGGGAGAGGGGUUGCUUCAAGAUCAGUUGUGAUUGAUGCUAAAAACCACUUUCAUGGAUAAGGGGUUUUUCCUAUUCCCUAAAUCCAGUUCUGAUUUCCUGCUAGGCCUGUGGGUCAACCUUUCCACUUCUUCUCAGGGAAUUCUCUGGCAUAGGACUGGGAACAGGCAGUGAAAGCAACAAAAAUCCCUUUGUAUCACAAUUUUUGCUGAAGUACUGGAAUUGUAAAACCCUCUCCCUCCUUCACAGGCUCAGAAUGGUUGAGGUCCAAAGGGAACUCAUGGAGAUCCCUGCUCCUGAUGCUUUGGGAAGGCUGACCUGGAACAGAGACUGGAUAAAGCUGGAGAGUAAAGCAGAUAUUUACUGAAAGGCCUUUAAGGGUACACCUUGGGCAGGACAAGAGCCUGGCCAGGGCUACACCCAAGGUGGGUCCAAAAUGGUCACAAAAUGGACAAUCAGUCACGAGGUCUCCACUUUUAUGAGUUUUGGUCCAUUUGCAUAUUGGGGUUUAAUUGUCCAAUUACAGCUCCAAGUUGUGAAAUCCCACCCUUCUUGUUUUCUCCCUUCAGCCCACCCUUGUUUGUGCUUUUGGGCCUGAAAGUUGUACUCGUUGUCCCUGGUCUGCAGCAGGAAAAGGAUUUGUUUUGUCUCCCUGCUCUGUGAAGAGAGCUGAGUGACACUGAAUGUGAGGCUCAGAACUGCACCCCUGGGCAGCACAGAAUCGGAAAAACAGGAAAGAUAAAACUUAAGGCAUCACUCCAAAGCCCUGCUCAAGCAGGACCUACAGCCCCUUGCCCAGGAUCACUUCCAGGUCCCUCGGGGAUGUGUCUAAGGAGGGGAACUCCACACUCUCUCAAGGCCACUGCACCCAGCUCCUCAUCCUUUCCCCACAGCAGAGAUGCUCCAGUGCCCUCCAGUGCCCUCCAGUGCCCUCCAGUCCCCUCCAGUGCCCUCCAGUCUCCUCCAGUGCUGCUGGCCCUUGGCUGGAUCCCUCCUGGCUGUCCAGGUCUCUCCUGCACUGCAGAGCCCAGCCCUGGGCACACAAAACUGCAGGAAAACUCUGCUGAAGCCCGGGGUUGAACCAGGGACCUUUAGAUCUUCAGUCUAACGCUCUCCCAGCUGAGCUACUUCAGCUCUGCUCUGGCUCCAGUUUGUCCCAAAAUCUGUUGGAACACGAUGAGAUUCCAGACUUUCUCCAUUCAAACCAGUUUGCCCAACACUCCUCCGAGAAGAACCAUGGAAUGGUUGGGGUUGGAAGUGACUUUUUACCUCAUUUCUUGAAGCAGGGACACCUCCCACUGUCCCAGCUUUAUCCAAGCCCCAUCCAGCUUGGCCUUGGACACUUCCAGGGAUGGGGCAGCCACAGUUUCUCUGGGCAACCCAUUCCAGUGUUGGAAUGCUGUGACUGACCACACAACAAAACAAGAGAGAACAAAUCUCAGGAAAACCCAGGCCAGGAGCAGCCUCUCCCCACAAAUGAGAGGUUUCCCUAUUGGAGCAUCAGCUGGGAAGCCAACAUGGAAAACAGACUGGAAAACUUUUCAGUUCUCUUGGACUAUUAAGUCAUACAUUGCACCAAAAUGUGCAGUUUUUUAACUGCACUUAAAUCACUCUAAACUACAUCAAUUGCCUCCAAUCAUCCCUCUUCUUUCCAAAUGCUGGCACUUUUUUUGUUUCAGAACACUGCAAUCCUGCCAUCUUCUAUGUAAUUAUAUAACAUAUGUAGUUCAUUGCUGCCUUUCCAAUAAAUAAGUCUUAUG
Prinia subflava (tawny-flanked prinia) is the source of this 11777-nucleotide long non-coding RNA. RefSeq lists it as uncharacterized. Lineage: Eukaryota; Metazoa; Chordata; Aves; Passeriformes; Cisticolidae. The record is from RefSeq and is a predicted model, not a curated record. The transcript is spliced from 3 exons.